CUUGGUCAUUUAGAGGAAGUAAAAGUCGUAACAAGGUUUCCGUAGGUGAACCUGCGGAAGGAUCAUUACCGAGGUCGCGUCUCUGACGCGGUACUCUCACACCAUGUUGUUUUACCUGUUGCUUCGGCGGGACGUUGAUUCAUCACCGUCGACGAAAGUGGGCGUGUGCCUGCCGAAGGUUUACACUCGAAUUUUUGAAGUCUGAGAAAACGAUAAUAGAAAAAACUUUCAACAACGGAUCUCUUGGUUCUGGCAUCGAUGAAGAACGCAGCGAAAUGCGAUAAGUAAUGUGAAUUGCAGAAUUUAGUGAAUCAUCGAAUCUUUGAACGCACAUUGCGCCCCUUGGUAUUCCUCGGGGCACGCCUGUUCGAGCGCCGUUUCAAACUUAAGGCUCUGCCUUGCGUUGGCGCCAUCCGUCCGCGGAUGCGUUGAAACUCCUCGGGCGCCUUUCUGAUCUCGGCAGCGUAGCAAGUCUUCCGCUGUUGGGUGCCAGCAAAGGUCGCCGGUAGUUACGAGUUUGGCCUCGAAUCAGGCGGGGAUACCGCUGAACUUAAGCAUAUCAAUAAGCGGAGGAAAAGAAACCAACAGGGAUUGCCUUAGUAACGGCGAGUGAAGCGGCAACAGCUCAGAUUUGAAAUCCGGCUUCGGCCCGAGUUGUAAUCUGCAGAGGAAUAUUCGGCGGAGGUGCCGGUGCAAGUCUCCUGGAACGGAGCGUCAGAGAGGGUGAGAAUCCCGUACCUGCCGGCAACCGAUGCCAUGUGAAUAUCCUUCGACGAGUCGAGUUGUUUGGGAAUGCAGCUCAAAACGGGUGGUAAAUUCCAUCUAAAGCUAAAUAUUGGCCAGAGACCGAUAGCGCACAAGUAGAGUGAUCGAAAGAUGAAAAGCACUUUGGAAAGAGGGUUAAAAAGUACGUGAAAUUGUUGAAAGGGAAGCGCUAUCGAUCAGCUUCGGCCGCGGUUGCUCAGCCGGUCUUCUGACCGGUGCACUCUUCCGCGGUCCUGCCAGCAUCGGUUUGAGCGGACGGACAAAGACCUGGAGAACGUGGCCUUCCUCGGGAGGUGUUAUAGCUUCGGGUAGAAUACGUCCAGUUCGGACCGAGGAUCGCGCAUCUGCUCGGAUGCUGGCUUAAUGGUCGUUAGCGGCCCGUCUUGAAACACGGACC
This 1162-nucleotide ribosomal RNA is filed under the name uncultured fungus. Its description in RNAcentral is "eukaryotic LSU rRNA". The stretch from base 519 to 1162 matches the Rfam family "Eukaryotic large subunit ribosomal RNA", at positions 1 to 667 of the family's 3401-position model. Lineage: Eukaryota; Fungi. The record is from RNAcentral.